RNAcentral lists this long non-coding RNA (204 nucleotides) under Prunus persica (peach). RNAcentral describes it as "long non-coding RNA (PPER_LNC007030)". The record is from RNAcentral. Lineage: Eukaryota; Viridiplantae; Streptophyta; Magnoliopsida; Rosales; Rosaceae.
UGAGUUUAGAGUGAAAUCUAAUUGCCAAAACUAUGCAAUACACCAACCAUUUCAUUUUAGAACGAACAUCUUACGAACCUGAUUUGUCCGAUUUCAUUAACCAAUCGAUGUCGGGCAGAGCCCAAAACUUGGGGAACAUCAUAAUAUAUGUUGGGAGGAGUCGUUUGGUAAGUUUUGAGCGAAAUCCAAUUGCGAAAAGUAUAC